RNAcentral lists this long non-coding RNA (292 nucleotides) under Phoenix dactylifera (date palm). Its description in RNAcentral is "long non-coding RNA (PDAC_LNC003812)". Lineage: Eukaryota; Viridiplantae; Streptophyta; Magnoliopsida; Arecales; Arecaceae. The record is from RNAcentral.
AGUCAAUGAGCCUAAAAGCCCAUCUUUAUCCAUUUUGUUCAUUCUGUCUUCUCCAAUAUGGCCAAGCCUGAGGUGCCACAAAUAUCUUUGGUUUAUCUCAUCUCUGGAUCUUUUGGAUCCUUUGGCACUCACAUCUUGCUCGGUAACAUUCACAGAUACAUCCAUAUAUAAACGAUAGAGACUGUCAAUCAUAAAACCACGUGCGACUAUUUUAUUUUUUAAAUAAAUAGAACAGCAGUCUUUGUCAAAUGUAAAAACAUGACCUUCCUGUGCUAGACAUGAAACAGAAAUC